UGGUUGGAAGGGUUGCUCGAUGGUGAUUAGUGGUUGGGCAUGGGGAUCAAUGUGGGCUGGUAGCUGAGUGUGUUGAUGUUGUGGUACAGGUGGGCUUGAAGAGAGGCCUAACAAGGCAUGUGAUGGACUAUUGUCUAUGGUAAAUGCUCAAAAUAGGCUCAAGAUUUGAAGUGGAGCUUGGACGUUGGAUAGCAUUUUGGUGGGGCACUAUUGAGUGAGGCAAUUUAGAACUAAAUGUAACCCACCAUGUUUGCAAAUUUGAAAGCGAUGAGGAUGUGGUGGAAGGAAGAGAGGUAAUAUUUUGAUAUCGAAAGAAAAAUUCAUCAAAGACAAUAUAUCUGGAUAAAAAAAUAUGACCUAAUUUAAUGUCAAGGCAUCCAUGCCCCUUUUGAUUGGUACUGUAGCCAAAAAAAUAUUGCAAGAGGACUUAAAUUUAAGGGCAAAUUGGAGUGAGGCAAUAAGCUUAGGGUGGUUUCAAUAAUAUGGCGAUGUAUUUGUUCAAAAACACCAUUUCAUUUAGGCAUAUGUGGACAUGUUAAAUGA
Molecule: long non-coding RNA, 543 nt
Filed under: Phoenix dactylifera (date palm)
Lineage: Eukaryota; Viridiplantae; Streptophyta; Magnoliopsida; Arecales; Arecaceae
Description: long non-coding RNA (PDAC_LNC005361)
Source: RNAcentral